This 934-nucleotide long non-coding RNA is filed under the name Monodelphis domestica (gray short-tailed opossum). RNAcentral's name for it is "lncRNA (ENSMODG00000030008.2)". The record is from RNAcentral. Lineage: Eukaryota; Metazoa; Chordata; Mammalia; Didelphimorphia; Didelphidae.
GAGAAAUAGUCUUGAGAAGAAACCAACAUGUAAAGGAGCUGACACUUGGAUCCUGUGCAUGUCUCUCAUCUACACCAGAGACACUAGAGAAUUUCCACUUGCAGGAGAUCUGGCUAGAUGCCAUACAUUAGGUGAUUUUGCACUCAUUUACCAUUCAGGACACUUCAGACUCUGUGUGGAAUUUUUGAUGCUGAGUAGAUCGGAAGCAGUAUCUGAGCCAGUGGGGUGCAAUUCCAGAAAGGGAAAAGAAAAGAUGGAGCCAGAGGGGCCCUGAGAGAUCAUGCUGUCCAACCUGUUUAUUUGAUAAAGGAGUAAGCUUGAAGCCUAAAACCAAAAUGGCGUAGGCAAGUGAAAUAACUUGUUCAAAGUCAAAUAGCUAAUAAUAAGCAGAAACAGGAUUGGACCAACCAUAAACAAAUGACAUUUCAGUCCCACAACAGUGAAUUCCAAGGUACCGCCUUGAUUCUUCGAUUUGUCCUGAAAAUUGUCUAUAUCAAAUAUUGAAGUCAGUCAAACUUACUGUGUGUCAAGUACUGGAACAACAAAGGAAGACCUUGACUCUGAGAGAUUUACACUCUAAUGAAGGAGACAAUAUGCAAACAGCUAUAUAUAAACAAGAUAUAACGAGGAUAAACUGGAGACAAUCACAGAAGCAAAAUCUUUGAAAUCUAUAUUUAUAGGAUAUGUAUAACAGGUGGUUUUGUUGUUGUUAUUGGUUUCUAGUCAAGUCCAACUAUUCAUGAUCCCUUUUGGGGUUUUCUUGGCAAACUUAUGGGAAUAGUUUGACAAUUUUUUUCUCUAACUCAUUUUAUAUAGAUAAGGAAACCGAGGCAAACAGGAUUGUGAUUUGCCCAAGGAAGCAUAACUAAUAAGUGUCUGAAACCAGAGAAUUCAGGUGAUCCUAAUUUCAUGAAUGUACUCCCUCCACUGUGCC